AGCAGCCACCUUUUAAAACGCGUCAAAGCGUAACCUUAAUUCCCAAAUACCAUUAAUCUUCAUGAACCCCUAAUUUAUAAUGAAUGACUCCAUAUUUAUAUGGAAGACACCAUGCUAGGAUUAGUAACAAGAAUUUAUAAUUCUCCAAAAUGCAAACAUAAACCAACAUGGAUAGACCAUUGGUAGUUACCGAACCUAAAUUCACUGCAAUAACACCCACAAGAAAACUCUGCAGUACUUACUCGUUAACCUAACACUAGCGCAUUACAGGAAAGAUUUAAAAAAAGAGAAGGAAUUCGGCAAAUCACGGCCCCGCCUGUUUACCAAAAACAUCGCCUCUUGACUUAUAAUAAGAGGUCCAGCCUGCCCAGUGAAUUUUUAACGGCCGCGGUAUCCUAACCGCGCGAAGGUAGCAUAAUCACUUGUUCUUUAAAUGGGGACUCGUAUCAACGGCAUCACGAGGGUUUUACUGUCUCCUCUUUUUGAUCAGUGAAAUUGAUCUUCCCGUGAAGAAGCGGGAAUAAUACUAUAAGACGAGAAGACCCCAUGGAGCUUAAAACCAAAUAACAACUUAACCACUCACCCCCCUAUAAAUUUAAGCCCUGUUAUAAGGUUUUCGGUUGGGGUGACCGCGGAGUAAAGCUCAUCCUCCACGACGGAAAGAACACACUCUUUAUUUAAGAACCACAAUUCUAGAAAUUAGUAUACUAACGUUUACUGACCCGAUAAUCGAUCAACGGACCAAGUUACCCUGGGGAUAACAGCGCAAUCUACUUCAAGAGCUCAUAUCGACAAGUAGGCUUACGACCUCGAUGUUGGAUCAGGGUAUCCCGGUGGUGCAGCCGCUACCGAAGGUUCGUUUGUUCAACGAUUAAAACCCUA
Molecule: ribosomal RNA, 882 nt
Filed under: Polypedates cf. megacephalus CWL-2010
Lineage: Eukaryota; Metazoa; Chordata; Amphibia; Anura; Rhacophoridae
Description: partial 16S ribosomal RNA
Rfam family: Bacterial large subunit ribosomal RNA
Source: RNAcentral